CAGACGCAGUCCCAAAUGUUUUCCAUACGCACAGUCCUGUGAAGUCUCCUGCGGACCCUGUGCAGGUGGGGCCCCGCCUGCUCCUUCAGACCAAGGUAACUCAAACCAUAUGCCUGGUGCAGAAUCAAGGCAAGUGUGGCUCCAGCAGAGGCAAGAGUAAACAAAAGAGGGAACUGGAAAUUAGAAGGAAGGUGAUGCACGUGUGGAUGAUUUCAGUCGGCAUCCCAGCGUCUCUGCUGAGUGCAGGGCCAGCUGGUGGAGCACAGGGUGCUCUUAUGCUGGGUCCUUGAGCUCACUUUCUGGAGUACAUAGGGACCCACUGUGGCCUGCUGCAUGUCUGUGACGGGCAGUUCCGCAGUGGGGCCUUAACCAGUGGGUAGGUGGCAGCAGCAGCCAUGCUGAGAAGAGGAUAUCCAAUGCCCCAGCUGGACCUGUGCUCAGUGUGAUGCUGUGAAAGGAGCUCAGACUGGGGAGUCAGAAUGAGUCGUCUUCUUUCCACCUCUGUUCACUGCUUCGCACCGGACACCGGGCAUUGAGCAUUCUCAGAACUCAGCCUCGUCAUCUACAGGACGAGAAGUACGUGAUCACAGCAAAGGGCUUCUGCGAGCGUCGCCUCCACUAUUUACACAGUGCCGAAUCCCACCCCAAGUUGGCAGAGGUUGAUCUUUGGUCCAGCAAGCAUCACUGUGGAGCUCUGUCCCCAGCAUCAUGAUGACCACUUGUGUACCAGCUUCCUCAUCUGAGAAAGCAGGAUCCUCACUAGCAGACAAGGAUACUGUGACUUUAUACCUCCACGAAGUGGAUAGAAAGACCUAUCUUAACUGUAUUUGCUUGAAGUGCAAGUUUCAUAAAAAUAACAGGUAACUACUGUGAAGCAUUUACAAUAUGUAAAUGUCAUUUAAUUAUGUAAAAUAGGCCCUUUGAAGAAGAUAUUAUUUGAGCAAUAAAUGAGCUUCCCAAGAUGA
This is a long non-coding RNA of Chinchilla lanigera (long-tailed chinchilla), 965 nucleotides long. RefSeq lists it as uncharacterized. The transcript is spliced from 4 exons. NCBI's taxonomy places the organism in Eukaryota, Metazoa, Chordata, Mammalia, Rodentia, Chinchillidae. The record is from RefSeq and is a predicted model, not a curated record.